CCUUGGUAUGGAAACCCACUAAGUGAUAACUUUCAAAUUCAGAGAAACCCUGGAAUUAAUAAAAAGGGGCAAUCCUGAGCCAAAUCCUGUUUUCCGAAACCAAAGGUUCAGAAAGUGAAAAAGGGAUAGGUGCAGAGACUCAAUGGAAGCUGUUCUAACAAAUGGAGUUGGCUGCGUUAGUAGAGAAAUCUUUCCAUCGAAAAUUCCGAAAGGAUAAAACGUAUACGUAUUGAAUACUAUAUCAAAUGAUUAAUGACGACUCGACUGAAUCUGUAUUUUUUAUAUGAAAAUGGAAGAAUUGGUGUGAAUAGAUUCCACAUUGAAGAAAGAAUCGAAUAUUCAUUGAUUAAAUGAUUCACUCCAUAGUCUGAUAGAUCUUUUCAAGAAUUGAUUAAUCGGACGAGAAUAAAGAUAGAGUCCCGUUCUACAUGUCAAUGUCGGCAACAAUGAAAUUUAUAGUAAGAGGAAAAUCCGUCGACUUUNNAAAUCGUGANGGUUCAAGUCCCUCUAUCCCCAAAAAGCAUAUUUGACCCCCCAACUAUUUAUCCUAUCCCCCUUUUCAUUAGCGGUUCAAAAUACCUUAUUCAUUUACUCUAUUCUCUUAGAAAUCGAUCUGGACGAAAAAGCCCUUUUCUUAUCACAAAUCUUGUGUUAUUUAUGAUAUAAACAUCUUUAGAAAUCCCCAUUUGAAUGCUUUACAAUCUAAAUAACAUAAAAACAAAUUUAUUAAAAAAAGAUAUGUACCCUUUCCUUCUUUUAAUUGACAUAGCCCACUUUUUCUCAUAAAAUGAGGAUGCUACAUUGGGACUGGUCGGGAUAGCUCAGCUGGUAGAGCAGAGGACUGAAAAUCCUCGUGUC
RNAcentral lists this non-coding RNA (858 nucleotides) under Psydrax odorata. RNAcentral describes it as "partial contains trnL gene and trnL-F intergenic spacer". The stretch from base 1 to 441 matches the Rfam family "Group I catalytic intron". Rfam says of the family: Group I catalytic introns are large self-splicing ribozymes. Lineage: Eukaryota; Viridiplantae; Streptophyta; Magnoliopsida; Gentianales; Rubiaceae. The record is from RNAcentral.